Long non-coding RNA from Lotus japonicus, 1582 nucleotides. RefSeq lists it as uncharacterized. The record is from RefSeq and is a predicted model, not a curated record. The transcript has 4 exons. NCBI's taxonomy places the organism in Eukaryota, Viridiplantae, Streptophyta, Magnoliopsida, Fabales, Fabaceae.
CGUUGAUUGCAGCUACAAUGUUGUGGGCAUCCAUCAUAUGUUUAUUCCUUAUCCUCUUCCACAUUCAGCAGUUCCAGAUUCUCAUAAACCUCUUGGGCUUCAACAACCUUCUCACCUUCCAAUGAAUUUACUUCAUGCUCACAUGGGCACUCCUAAGAUCAAACAGGUUUGCAUGUUUUUUCCUCUUCCACCAUCUCAAGUUCCACCUUAUCACCCACCUCUCCAGCUUCAACAAUCUCCCUAUAAAAUAUUUUCAACAAGCUUUCCUCACAUGCACUCUUAAUCAAAGAGAAACAAGAUUCUCCCAACCUGCACCACCUACGCCAAUUUCAACAUCAAGAUAUGACUCAAUCAUUUAUGCUUUAGUCAUUUGAUUAUAUUUAGAUUCCAAUCUCAAUAAUCCUUCUUAUUGAUACUGAUUGUUUCUUGGAGCAUGCAGCUACUCUUCUUCUGCCUGCGCUCCUAGCCUCUGCAAUUGCUCUUCCCAACCUAUCAUUUUUACUCCCAAGCUUGCUGAAUUACUCUUUUUCCUUGGCAUUUAAUCAUGUUUUCAUACCCUACUCUCAAGGAAGGAAGUCGUGGUUUACUUAGGUGAUAGAGAAGCUCAAAAAUUCAGGCAGCUAUGGAACUUAGUAGAUUAUUAUGCAGUAAGAAGAGGUACGAUUUGGAAGAAACUGGAGUGAUGGUUCUAUGAUUUAUUUGAAAACUAUGAAGCCAUUGAAGCUGCUCUCUAUGCUCACUCUAUCCUUACCUUUGGCAGUGAAAGGUUAAGAUGAAAACAAGGGAAGGAAAAACUCAAGUUAUGAAUUAUGAUCACUCCAUUAGAAAUUUCAAAUUUCAAACAUUCCCAAUAUUGAGAUUGAAGAAAAACAUUAUUCAAGUGCAGAGUUUGAUUGGGAAAUAGAGGACUUCAUGAACCAGCUAUACAAUUGAAAGAAUUGUUUAAUUUCCUCUACUACACUCGUACAUUAUCGUGCCGCGGCUAGAAUGCAUUAGAAUGGUCAACCUGCUUGCUGAUCUUGCCAAGUUUCUUCAACAGCAUCAAAGAGAUAAAUAUGUCAAGCUUCUUGGAUGAAUAACAUAUUGCAAGGACUCCAGCACACACUUAAAUUCUCAACAUUCUUUCACUCAAGUGUGAAUCACCACCACCACAUUACCAUGCUCCCCAUUCGCGGAAGAUAUCCACACUUGUAUCGUCGUUUGCUCCAUUGCGUCAACGGAACACUCAGUAUGACCUCACCGCCAGGAAGACUUUCAAUACAAAGAGUCGUCACCAUGGUCACACCAAUCAUCGGCUCUGAUACCACUUGUUGGGAGGAUAGUGAGAGCCCAUGAGCCAAGGAAACAACACACACCAAGAGAACUCUAUACCAUAUUUUUACCCAAUACCUUAAGACAUUGAGUUUAUGAGUCACAUCUCUAAUAAAGUAUUCACCUCACUCAUUAUAUGUAAUAAAGAUCCCCAACCAACUUGGCGAGCCAUUUAGACACACUUAAUCUUCAUACAUCAGACACAAUGUCUUGUGGACUUAUGUACUGGUCGAAUGAUUUUUAGUUGAGUGGUCACGUCACAUAUUAGAGU